RNAcentral lists this ribosomal RNA (510 nucleotides) under uncultured diatom. RNAcentral's name for it is "SSU rRNA". It matches the Rfam family "Eukaryotic small subunit ribosomal RNA", at positions 485 to 997 of the family's 1831-position model. The record is from RNAcentral. Lineage: Eukaryota; Bacillariophyta.
GCCGGGCCUUUACAGGUCUGGCAAUUGGAAUGAGAACAAUUUAAAUCCCUUAUCGAGUAUCAAUUGGAGGGCAAGUCUGGUGCCAGCAGCCGCGGUAAUUCCAGCUCCAAUAGCGUAUAUUAAAGUUGUUGCAGUUAAAAAGCUCGUAGUUGGGUUUCUGGCAGGAGCGUCCGGUCUCACACUCAGUGCGGGAACUUGGAUGUCUCUGGCCAUCUUUGGGGAUAUCCUGUUUGGCAUUAAGUUGUCGGGCAGGGGAUACCCAUCGUUUACUGUGAAAAAAUUAGAGUGUUUAAAGCAGGCUUAUGCCGUUGAAUAUAUUAGCAUGGAAUAAUAAGAUAGGACUUUGAGUCUAUUUUGUUGGUUUGCGAGUCAAAGUAAUGAUUAAUAGGGACAGUUGGGGGUAUCCGUAUUUCAUUGUCAGAGGUGAAAUUCUUGGAUUUCUGAAAGACGAACUACUGCGAAAGCAUUUACCAAGGAUGUUUUCAUUAAUCAAGAACGAAAGUUAGGGGA